This 762-nucleotide long non-coding RNA is filed under the name Equus caballus (horse). RNAcentral describes it as "lncRNA (ENSECAG00000057540.1)". Lineage: Eukaryota; Metazoa; Chordata; Mammalia; Perissodactyla; Equidae. The record is from RNAcentral.
GUAUAGGUGUGCUAUAAAGGGAAAGCAAGAACACGAAAUAUUAUGAUUCACAUUACUCGCCUUCUCAUGACAACUUCUCAGACUUUCCUUGUUUUUGAUGAUCUUGGCAGUUUUGAGAAGUACCAGUCAGAUGGUCCUGUGAAAACAGAGAGACACCCAGAGAGAAUGCCAGGUGAAGCCAAACGAUUGAAGUGAUGAAUCUACAAGCCAAAGAAUACCAAAGAUUGCCAGCAGACCAUAGCAGCUAGGAAGAGUUAAGAGAGGAUUCCUCUACAGUUUUCAGAGGGAACGUGGCUCUGCCAACAUCUUGAUUUUCGACUUCCAGCCUCAAGAACUGAUGUUAUGUGAAUAAGCACCUUUGCUGUACUUCUGAUCUCAAAGACAAAGCUUUCAAUGUAUCAACAUACAUAAAGAAGUUUGUUUUAGGAUUUUGAAGACAUCUCUUUUUUCAGUGCUCUUUGCUUGGAAAUCCUGGACUGUGCAGAAACAUGAAAAUAUUUGUGGACAACUUCUUCCAACAGUUACCACAUGGGAAAAGACAUGAAACCUUGGAGUGCUACUUGUAUUUAAGGAACAUGUUUCAGUGCUGACACAAAUGAUCCAUAUGGUUCUUAUUCCAUUCUGGAAUAAUAUUUGAAAAAAAGAAUGCAAGAUAUUUGAAUUCAAAUUAGAGAACAUUUCCAAUAAUUUCAUGGUAGUUUCUUAUCCUUUCAAAUGAGUCAUUUGCUGUAUAUAAUGUGCAAUAAACACAAUCAACCCAAA